CACUAAGAAGCUUUGUAUAGCACUAGCCUUUUAAGCUAGAGAAGGGGAAAUAAUUACCCCCUCAGUGA
This 68-nucleotide transfer RNA is filed under the name Uta stansburiana. Its description in RNAcentral is "tRNA-Lys". It matches the Rfam family "tRNA". Rfam says of the family: Transfer RNA (tRNA) molecules are approximately 80 nucleotides in length. Their secondary structure includes four short double-helical elements and three loops (D, anti-codon, and T loops). Lineage: Eukaryota; Metazoa; Chordata; Lepidosauria; Squamata; Phrynosomatidae. The record is from RNAcentral.